UACGAUGAAGAGUUUGAUCCUGGCUCAGGAUGAACGCUAGCGGCAGGCCUAACACAUGCAAGUCGAGGGGUAGAGAUAGCUUGCUAUCUUGAGACCGGCGCACGGGUGAGUAACGCGUAUGCAAUCUACCUUAUACAGGGGAAUAGCCCAGAGAAAUUUGGAUUAAUGCCCCAUGGUUUAUUGAGAUGGCAUCAUUUUAAUAAUAAAGAUUUAUCGGUAUAAGAUGAGCAUGCGUAUCAUUAGCUAGUUGGUGUGGUAACGGCAUACCAAGGCGACGAUGAUUAGGGGUCCUGAGAGGGAGAUCCCCCACACUGGUACUGAGACACGGACCAGACUCCUACGGGAGGCAGCAGUGAGGAAUAUUGGUCAAUGGAGGCAACUCUGAACCAGCCAUGCCGCGUGCAGGAUGACGGUCCUAUGGAUUGUAAACUGCUUUUGUACAGGAAGAAACAUUACUACGUGUAGUAACUUGACGGUACUGUAAGAAUAAGGAUCGGCUAACUCCGUGCCAGCAGCCGCGGUAAUACGGAGGAUCCGAGCGUUAUCCGGAAUUAUUGGGUUUAAAGGGUUCGUAGGCGGUUAGAUAAGUCAGUGGUGAAAUUUCCUAGCUUAACUAGGGCACUGCCAUUGAUACUGUUUAACUUGAAUAGUAUGGAAGUAACUAGAAUAUGUAGUGUAGCGGUGAAAUGCUUAGAUAUUACAUGGAAUACCAAUUGCGAAGGCAGGUUACUACGUACUUAUUGACGCUGAUGAACGAAAGCGUGGGGAGCGAACAGGAUUAGAUACCCUGGUAGUCCACGCCGUAAACGAUGGAUACUAGCUGUUCGGUCUUCGGAUUGAGUGGCUAAGCGAAAGUGAUAAGUAUCCCACCUGGGGAGUACGUUCGCAAGAAUGAAACUCAAAG
This 904-nucleotide ribosomal RNA is filed under the name Acinetobacter indicus. Its description in RNAcentral is "bacterial SSU rRNA". It matches the Rfam family "Bacterial small subunit ribosomal RNA", at positions 1 to 906 of the family's 1533-position model. Lineage: Bacteria; Pseudomonadati; Pseudomonadota; Gammaproteobacteria; Moraxellales; Moraxellaceae. The record is from RNAcentral.